CACUCCUACGGGAGGCAGCAGUGGGGAAUUUUGGACAAUGGGCGAAAGCCUGAUCCAGCAAUGCCGCGUGAGUGAAGAAGGCCUUCGGGUUGUAAAGCUCUUUUGUCAGGGAAGAAACGGUGAAAGCUAAUAUCUUUUGCUAAUGACGGUACCUGAAGAAUAAGCACCGGCUAACUACGUGCCAGCAGCCGCGGUAAUACGUAGGGUGCAAGCGUUAAUCGGAAUUACUGGGCGUAAAGUGUGCGCAGGCGGUUUUGUAAGUCUGAUGUGAAAUCCCCGGGCUCAACCUGGGAAUUGCAUUGGAGACUGCAAGGCUAGAAUCUGGCAGAGGGGGGUAGAAUUCCACGUGUAGCAGUGAAAUGCGUAGAUAUGUGGAGGAACACCGAUGGCGAAGGCAGCCCCCUGGGUCAAGAUUGACGCUCAUGCACGAAAGCGUGGGGAGCAAACAGGAUUAGAUACCCUAGUAGUCC
This 470-nucleotide ribosomal RNA is filed under the name uncultured organism. Its description in RNAcentral is "partial 16S ribosomal RNA". It matches the Rfam family "Bacterial small subunit ribosomal RNA", at positions 334 to 796 of the family's 1533-position model. The record is from RNAcentral.